Molecule: ribosomal RNA, 465 nt
Filed under: Vreelandella stevensii
Lineage: Bacteria; Pseudomonadati; Pseudomonadota; Gammaproteobacteria; Oceanospirillales; Halomonadaceae
Description: partial 16S ribosomal RNA
Rfam family: Bacterial small subunit ribosomal RNA
Source: RNAcentral
CCUACGGGGGGCAGCAGUGGGGAAUAUUGGACAAUGGGGGGAACCCUGAUCCAGCCAUGCCGCGUGUGUGAAGAAGGCCCUCGGGUUGUAAAGCACUUUCAGUGAGGAAGAACGCCUGGUGGUUAAUACCCAUCAGGAAAGACAUCACUCACAGAAGAAGCACCGGCUAACUCCGUGCCAGCAGCCGCGGUAAUACGGAGGGUGCGAGCGUUAAUCGGAAUUACUGGGCGUAAAGCGCGCGUAGGUGGCUGGAUAAGCCGGUUGUGAAAGCCCCGGGCUCAACCUGGGAACGGCAUCCGGAACUGUCAAGCUAGAGUGCAGGAGAGGAAGGUAGAAUUCCCAGUGUAGCGGUGAAAUGCGUAGAGAUCGGGAGGAAUACCAGUGGCGAAGGCGGCCUUCUGGACUGACACUGACACUGAGGUGCGAAAGCGUGGGUAGCAAACAGGAUUAGAUACCCUGGUAGUC